UGGGGAAAGAGGUCCCUGAUGCCUUUGGCAGAGGUGAGCCCGAUGAGAUCUGGAGCAGUGCCUUCAAGCUGAAGGUCACCCAUGAGGACAUUGGCAGCCUGAGGGAGCGUCGCUGGCUGCACGAUGAGGUCAUCCAUUUCUACAUGAAGCUUAUUGCAGAAGUAAGAAGGAGAGAUUUGCAGCAGUCCAUGCCUUUAGUACUUUCUUCUACCCAAAAUUCAUCUCUGGGGGCUACACAGCAGUAAGAAAGUGGACCAAAGGUGUGGAUCUGUUCCAGCAGGAGCUCAUCUUUGUGCCCACUCACCUGAGGGUGCACUGGGCACUAGUGGUGAGUCACAUUGGCUUUAACUGGACAGAGAGGAAAAACUCACAGGAAAAGUAAUUCAGGUUUAGUCCUGUGUGCCAGCCAAGGCUGUGCCUUGUCUAACAGUGACCUUCUAGUAACAGGUGCCAGAUGUCAGAAGGAAGAGCAUCCAGUGCUGUGAUUCGAUGGGAAAGAGUGGGGCAGGAUCUGGCAGACUCUGCUCCAAUACCUGUGAGAAGAAGCCUCGAGAAAAGAAACCUGGAGCUGGCUUCUUCAGAGUGGACUCUUGGCAGCAUGGCAUCCAUGUAUGUGAGCAGUGCUUGGCUUUGAGCCCUGAGCUCUGCUGAUCACAAAGGUCUCAGCACUUUUCAGUAGGUCCAAGCUCUUAGGAGAACACCCAUGAGCAUCUCGUGUUCUUAGGGUGCCACCUCAGACUGGAGGUUGAGCUGAUGGUUCUCAGCCAGUUGAGAGUACAAAGCACUGCACCUAAAGGCUUGGUGGAGGAAGCAGCCAAGCUCCAGACACCUGCGAGGAGAAAGCUGCUGUCCCUUGUAGUGCUGCCCAGACUGUGACUUGUGACCUCCCAGUGGAGGAAGCAGAGGGCAGGGAUGAUGUGCAGUGCCUUGAGUCUAUUCCUUAUGUCCAGCAGUGGGAGAUGGAUGAUGCAAAGAGGUUCUUGGCUGUCUGGUGAGGAAUUGCUGACCUGGGGAAUGAGUGCAGCUGCUUGGGUUGGAACUUCCAAAUGGACUGAGCAGGA
This is a long non-coding RNA of Pogoniulus pusillus (Red-fronted tinkerbird), 1061 nucleotides long. RefSeq lists it as uncharacterized. The record is from RefSeq and is a predicted model, not a curated record. The transcript has 3 exons. NCBI's taxonomy places the organism in Eukaryota, Metazoa, Chordata, Aves, Piciformes, Lybiidae.